UGUUGUUGUUGUUUUUGAGAUGGAGCCCCUCACUCUGUCACCCAGGCUAGAGUGCAAUGGCGUGGUCUUGGCUCACUGCCUCCUGGGUUCAAGCGAUUCUCCUCCCUCAGCCUCCUGAGUAGCUGGGACUACAGGCACGUGCCACCACACCUGGCUAAUUUUUGUAUUUUUGGUAGAGACGGGGUUUCACUAUGUUGGCCAGGCUGAUCUCCAACUCUUGACCUAGUGAUCCACCCUCCUCGGCCUCUCAAAGUGCUGGGAUUACAGGCAUGAGCCACCACGACUGGCAAUUUUUUCAUUUUUUUGUAGAGACGGGAUCUCACUAUGUUGCCCAGGCUGAUCUCAAACUCCUGGCCUCAAGUGAUCCUCCUACCUUAGCCUCCCAAAGUGCUGGAAUCACAGGUAUAAGCCACUGCACCCACCCAUUCAAUCCUUAUAACAAGGCUGUGACACAGCCAUUUUUUCAGAUGAGGAAAGGGAGGUGCAGGGAAGUGAGAUAAUUUGUCCAAGGUCAUUCGACUUACAAGUGGCAGAGCUGGACUUGAACCUAGGCAGUCUUCAUUCAGAGUCCAGGUACCUAACCACUAUCCUGUGGCUGUGAGUGAUAUAUCUCUGCCCAAAGGGUCUUGUGUCAUUACAUCCUAGGCUCUGACCAAAGCUUUGGUGUUUGAGCAGUACCCUCAUCCUUUCACUCAAAUUGCAGACAUGCAGGGGCCCCUGCCAUGCUCCAGCCCCUAGGCUGGACUCUGCAGACAGUGAAAUAGCUACAAAAUAGUACCGGGUCAUAGAUGCACCAGUGUCUCACAUGACAAGUGUAGGGCUCCUGUUGACUGCUCUCAGAGACCUGGACAAGUGGUCUGUGAGGCUAGAGGAGGACAUGACUAAUUCUGCUUUAGCCAGGAGGUCACUUGAAAUUCAGAGGAGCUUUCAGGCUUCCCCAUUCUGUGACAACUGACGCACCUUUGAGAGAUGAGUAAGAGGUUGUCAGCCAGAGAAGACGAAACAGUGCUGUCCCCAUUUGACAAAGACAGAAACUCAGCUCCAAGGCACACCACUUAAGUGUGCCUCGAGUGACACCGUGACGACCUCUCCGUGUUUACUUCCAGUUCAUUGUGGGUGGCCAAAUGGCCCUCAACUCUUCGAUCAAGACCCUGAAUGAACGGCAUGAAAUGAUGCUUAAGAGCAUUAAGUCGGAGAGCUCUGAACCCAAUCCACACUCAGCACUUUUUAAACUGAGUGACCUGAAGCAAGCCACGUAGUCUCUCUGAGCCUGUUUCUUCAUCAGUAAAAUAGGGAUAGGGAUGCUGACCCCACAGUCAUUGGGGGGAUUAAAUCAAAUAAAGUACUUAGCACAGUUCCAGAGAAAUAGAAAGCACUCAGUAUGUGGUAAAUACACAUUUACCACAAAUACACAAAAACCCAUUAGUUUCCAAAAUAGGUUGCAAGCCAGGCAUGGUGGCUAUAGUCACAGCUCUUCAGGAGGCUGAAGAGGGAGUUUGAGCCCAGAAGUUUGAGUCCAGCCUAGGCAACAUGGCAAGACAUCAUCUCAAACAAAAUUUUUUAAAAAAAGGAAAGAAAAAAAAUGGGUUGCAAUGUAACCUAGGCUUCUAAAACAGUCCAGCAACUCUGACUCUUGAUGAGAAAGUGAGCUUACCUGUUGGAUGUAAAGAGCAGUAAG
RNAcentral lists this long non-coding RNA (1678 nucleotides) under Macaca fascicularis (crab-eating macaque). RNAcentral's name for it is "lncRNA (ENSMFAG00000051725.1)". The record is from RNAcentral. Lineage: Eukaryota; Metazoa; Chordata; Mammalia; Primates; Cercopithecidae.